This 491-nucleotide ribosomal RNA is filed under the name uncultured bacterium. Its description in RNAcentral is "partial 16S ribosomal RNA". It matches the Rfam family "Bacterial small subunit ribosomal RNA", at positions 29 to 507 of the family's 1533-position model. The record is from RNAcentral.
GUGAACGCUGGCGGUAGGCCUAACACCUGCAAGUCGAACGGCAGCACAGUAAGAGCUUGCUCUUACGGGUGGCGAGUGGCGGACGGGUGUGGAAUACAUCGGAAUCUACUUUUUCGUGGGGGAUAACGUAGGGAAACUUACGCUAAUACCGCAUACGACCUACGGGUGAAAGCAGGGGAUCUUCGGACCUUGCGCGAUUGAAUGAGCCGAUGUCGGAUUAGCUAGUUGGCGGGGUAAAGGCCCACCAAGGCGACGAUCCGUAGCUGGUCUGAGAGGAUGAUCAGCCACACUGGAACUGAGACACGGUCCAGACUCCUACGGGAGGCAGCAGUGGGGAAUAUUGGACAAUGGGCGCAAGCCUGAUCCAGCCAUACCGCGUGGGUGAAGAAGGCCUUCGGGUUGUAAAGCCCUUUUGUUGGGAAAGAAAAGCAGCAGGUUAAUACCCCGCUGUUCUGACGGUACCCAAAGAAUAAGCACCGGCUAACUUCGUG